Molecule: long non-coding RNA, 309 nt
Filed under: Medicago truncatula (barrel medic)
Lineage: Eukaryota; Viridiplantae; Streptophyta; Magnoliopsida; Fabales; Fabaceae
Description: lncRNA gene16268
Source: RNAcentral
UUGGUAUGGAUAUUAUUGACAACUCUUCUUACCCUUAUAUUGAAAAUGUUUGGUUAGUUGAUGGACUAAAAUAUAACCUUCUGAGCAAGUUAAUUAUAUGACAGUGAUAUGAAGUAGUGGUUGAUAAGAACAACUGCACGGUCAUCAAGGUCUUUUGUUUUAUGUCUUUUUUGUGUUUCGUUGAACAUUUUAUGUUGUGUACUUUGUUUUAUGACUUGUUCUGAUGUGUACCUUUUGACUUAAUUUGGUUUUAUAUGAAUAUUUUUAUGGUAUUCUAUUUUACUGGCUACUGCCACACCAGAUUUGUUC